RNAcentral lists this ribosomal RNA (497 nucleotides) under uncultured bacterium. RNAcentral describes it as "partial 16S ribosomal RNA". It matches the Rfam family "Bacterial small subunit ribosomal RNA", at positions 28 to 507 of the family's 1533-position model. The record is from RNAcentral.
GAUGAACGCUGGCGGCGUGCCUAAUACAUGCAAGUCGAGCGAACGGACGAGAAGCUUGCUUCUCUGAUGUUAGCGGCGGACGGGUGAGUAACACGUGGAUAACCUACCUAUAAGACUGGGAUAACUUCGGGAAACCGGAGCUAAUACCGGAUGAUAUUUUGAGCCGCAUGGUUCAAAAGUGAAAGACGGUCUUGCUGUCACUUAUAGAUGGAUCCGCGCUGCAUUAGCUAGUUGGCAAGGUAACGGCUUACCAAGGCAACGAUGCAUAGCCGACCUGAGAGGGUGAUCGGCCACACUGGAACUGAGACACGGUCCAGACUCCUACGGGAGGCAGCAGUAGGGAAUCUUCCGCAAUGGGCGAAAGCCUGACGGAGCAACGCCGCGUGAGUGAUGAAGGUCUUCGGAUCGUAAAACUCUGUUAUUAGGGAAGAACAUAUGUGUAAGUAACUGUGCACAUCUUGACGGUACCUAAUCAGAAAGCCACGGCUAACUACGUG